RNAcentral lists this ribosomal RNA (365 nucleotides) under uncultured Pseudomonas sp. RNAcentral describes it as "bacterial SSU rRNA". It matches the Rfam family "Bacterial small subunit ribosomal RNA", at positions 1018 to 1382 of the family's 1533-position model. Lineage: Bacteria; Pseudomonadati; Pseudomonadota; Gammaproteobacteria; Pseudomonadales; Pseudomonadaceae. The record is from RNAcentral.
CGGGAAGCGAGCGUACACAGGUGCUGCAUGGCUGUCGUCAGCUCGUGUCGUGAGAUGUUGGGUUAAGUCCCGCAACGAGCGCAACCCUGCAUUCAGUUGCCAUCGGGUAAUGCCGGGCACUCUGGAAGGACUGCCAUCGACAAGAUGGAGGAAGGUGGGGAGUGACGUCAAGUCAUCAUGGCCCUUACGGCCUGGGCUACACACGUGCUACAAUGGUCGGUACAAAGGGUUGCCAAGCCGCGAGGUGGAGCUAAUCCCAUAAAACCGAUCGUAGUCCGGAUCGCAGUCUGCAACUCGACUGCGUGAAGUCGGAAUCGCUAGUAAUCGUGAAUCAGAAUGUCACGGUGAAUACGUUCCCGGGCCUU